AGAGUUUGAUCCUGGCUCAGAACGAACGCUGGCGGCGUGGAUUAGGCAUGCAAGUCGAACGGGAUCUCUGGAACGGACUCUUCGGAUGAAGUUCUUGAGUGAGAGUGGCGAACUGGUGAGGAACACGUGGGUAAUUUGCCCUUAAGUUCGGGAUAGCCCUUCGAAAGGAGGUGUAAUACCGAAUGUGGUCGCCCCGGACAUCCGGGGCUGUCUAAAGGUGGGGAUCUUCGGACCUGCCGCUUCUGGAUGUGCCCGCGUCCCAUCAGCUUGUUGGUAAGGUAACGGCUUACCAAGGCUAAGACGGGUAGCUGGUCUGAGAGGAUGGUCAGCCACACUGGGACUGAGACACUGCCCAGACUCCUACGGGAGGCUGCAGUCGAGAAUCAUUCGCAAUGCACGAAAGUGUGACGAUGCGACGCCGCGUGGAGGAUGACGGCUUUCGGGUUGUAAACUCCUGUCAUAAGGGAAGAAUCUCCGGCCGGUUAAUAACCUGGCCGUGUGAAGGUACCGGAAGAGGAAGCCACGGCUAACUCUGUGCCAGCAGCCGCGGUAAUACAGAGGUGGCGAGCGUUGUUCGGAUUUACUGGGCGUAAAGGGUGCGUAGGUGGUAUGGUGUGUCGGAUGUGAAAUCUCACUGUCCAACGGUGAAACUGCAUUCGAAACUGCCGUGCUAGGAGUACAGGAGGGGAGAGCGGAAUUCUUGGUGUAGCGGUGAAAUGCGUAGAUAUCAAGAAGAACGCCGGUGGCGAAGGCGGCUCUCUGGACUGAUACUGACGCUGAGGCACGAAAGCUGGGGUAGCGAAGAGGAUUAGAUACCCUCGUAGUCCCAGCCGUAAACGGUGUGCACUUGGUGUGGGCGGCUUUGUCCCCGUCCGUGCCGGAGCUAACGCGUUAAGUGCACCGCCUGGGGAGUACGGCCGCAAGGCUAAAACUCAAAGAAAUUGACGGGGGCCCGCACAAGCGGAGGAGCAUGUGGCUUAAUUCGAUGCAACGCGAAGAACCUUACCUGGGUUUGACAUGAUACUGCACGUCCCGGGAAACCGGGAUUUCUUCGAGAGUGUCUUACAGGUGCUGCAUGGCUGUCGUCAGUUCGUGUCGUGAGAUGUUGGGUUAAGUCCCGCAACGAGCGCAACCCCCGUCCCAUGUUGCCAGCAAGUAAUGUUGGGCACUCUUGGGAGACUGCCGGUGUCAAACCGGAGGAAGGUGGGGAUGACGUCAAGUCCUCAUGGACCUUAUACCCAGGGCUACACACGUACUACAAUGGCCGGUACAAAGAGGCGCCAACCCGCGAGGGGGAGCAAAUCUCAGAAAGCCGGUCUCAGUUCGGAUUGGAGUCUGCAACUCGACUCCAUGAAGGCGGAAUCGCUAGUAAUCGCGGAUCAGCAUGCCGCGGUGAAUACGUUCCCGGGUCUUGUACACACCGCCCGUCACACCAUGAGAGUCGCUUGUACCAGAAGUCGUCGAGCUAACCCGCAAGGGAGGCAGGCGCUUAAGGUAUGGUCAGUGAUUGGGGUGAAGUCGUAACAAGGUAACC
Molecule: ribosomal RNA, 1534 nt
Filed under: uncultured prokaryote
Description: partial 16S ribosomal RNA
Rfam family: Bacterial small subunit ribosomal RNA
Source: RNAcentral